Long non-coding RNA from Oenanthe melanoleuca, 748 nucleotides. RefSeq lists it as uncharacterized. The transcript has 3 exons. NCBI's taxonomy places the organism in Eukaryota, Metazoa, Chordata, Aves, Passeriformes, Muscicapidae. The record is from RefSeq and is a predicted model, not a curated record.
CAAGGUAAAAUGUUUAGCCUUGGCCUUUGAACCACUGCUAAAUGAAAACAGCAAAUGAUUUGGUUUAGUCAUAUAAAGAUCUUUAACUUAUCAGUUAAAAUUUUACUCAGGAAAGUAUGACAGGUUGUUACAUAAUGCUGCAGGAGAACUAAUUAAUUAAUAACAGAGUUUCUUGCCUUCAUGGGAAGACUGCCAGUUUGGGGACUUCAUCUCUCCUGUUCCAGCCUAUCAUUCAUUCAUCCUUGUAUAAAAACAAGUCUCAUUUAAAGACAAAUUCUUAUUCAUGUUUUGUUGUUGAGCUGUUUUGUUGUACUUUUUUCUGCUCCAAUGCCUACUACCAUGUUUUACUUGAGGAUCCUAUGCUCUCUUGAAGCUCCACACCUGGAGUGUGUCACUGGUGACUGUGUGCCUAGGCAAACAGUACCCUGGCACUGGAAAGACUGGACUUUUUCAUUCUGACUGGAGAAAAAGGCGGAAGAUACUGUAAAGGGAAGAAGAUUAUUGUGGAGCAGAUAGCCUGAAAACAUGAUUAAUUUGUUUAAGAAAAAGAAGAACAUGAAGAAAAUAGCUUGGAGUAAGAGUCAAGCAGAGGGAAGUAUUUGUCUCUUUCUAAUAACAGAAGUAGUGUUUUGUGAUUUUGUUACUGGUUUUGUUCCCUUGUGAAUAAAUUAUUUUAAAGCUGGUUAUUUUUAUAAUUGAAAACAAGGACAGUACUAGAAAGUAGAAAGUAAGGUCAAGAAGAUUGAAG